AGUGGAAUAUCUUGUAAACUUUAAGCAUACUGGUAUACGUGUUGAUUUAUUCUAGGAAAACAGUUCCUCAUCUAGAUAUAAACGAUAAAUACAGAAGAUGAAUACAUCACGUGAGUUUUGAUUGUGAAUGUGUUACACACUCGAAGAACAUAUUUAAAACAGAUUUGUAUGUCAUGAUUUUAAAUUAAGGAAUACUUCCCUCAACUUCUUGGAUACGCGAAAAGUGCACUCAUAAAUUUCAAGAUGCGAACUGAAACCAGCUGUUCCCUUGUUUUGGGUAUAAAUACGGCUUAGACGCAACAGCGGGGGUAUAAACGUAAUAAAGGUGCCAUAGUACCAACACAAGUUAACGUCAUUCACAAGGCACAGCCGACGCAUUCGUCUUUGUAUAUGGCGAUUUUAUAUAGUAAAAGUUUUGCAGAUGUGUUACACCCUUGCAUAGGGAAAAGGGGGAGGGAAAAGUGGGAAAUGGUGGAAAAAGGGAAAAGCAACCGGCUUUCUCACUCAAUGGACGAAACACAGCCAUUAAAGACUACUUCACGCGGAUUUUCAGCUAGAGGGUGGUACUUCCCUGGUCGAGCCAGCCCAUGUUCGAGCUUCAGUAACUUGACCACAGCUAAACUGUACCACCUACCAGAUUAUUAUUAUUCAAAUAAUAAGAAUUGCACUGAAAUAUAAAGUUUUGAUAAAAGUUAAAUAAUAUCAAAUUGUUAAUUUAUUACAAUUUUUCGUUGUCAUCAAAUUUUAUCAAAAAUGUAUUAUAUUUAGAAUCCAAGAAUAUAUAUAAAGGUAUCCCUUUCUGUCAAUGUCUGUACAUAUUGUGCAUAUGAAUAUUAGUACCAACUUUAUGAUCCGGAUUAUGAAACAAAUAUUGCUCAAAAUUUGUCUGCAGUUUAAGAAUAAUUUGAGAAGGACAACGACCUCUUUAUAUAAAAUCCAUAAAUCAUUAUAUGAUGAACUCGAGAUUUAAUUGCCCAUUUUACUUGUAUAUUAUUUUAAUAGUUCGUCAUAAAAUAUCAUAUAUACCGCCUGCCAUCGUAUCCGCCCGUUUAUUACCGAUAUUGAAGCUUACUGAGAAAUAGUCUCCAUAUUUAUACAACUGGUAUGUAAAUUUUAAU
Long non-coding RNA from Danaus plexippus (monarch butterfly), 1118 nucleotides. RefSeq lists it as uncharacterized. The record is from RefSeq and is a predicted model, not a curated record. The transcript is spliced from 5 exons. NCBI's taxonomy places the organism in Eukaryota, Metazoa, Arthropoda, Insecta, Lepidoptera, Nymphalidae.